Molecule: ribosomal RNA, 429 nt
Filed under: uncultured archaeon
Lineage: Archaea
Description: bacterial SSU rRNA
Rfam family: Archaeal small subunit ribosomal RNA
Source: RNAcentral
CACCAGCCCCUCGAGUGGUGGGGAUGAUUAUUUGGCCUAAAGCGUCCGUAGCCGGCCGGGUAAGUUUCCCGUUAAAUCCAGCGUCUCAAGCGUUGGACUGCGGGAAAUACUGCCUGGCUAGAGAGUGGGAGAGGUCAGUGGUAUUCUGGGGGUAGGGGCGAAAUCCUUUGAUCCCCGGAGGACCACCAGUGGCGAAGGCUGCUGACUAGAACACGUCUGACGGUCAGGGACGAAAGCUGGGGUAGCGAACCGGAUUAGAUACCCGGGUAGUCCCAGCCGUAAACGAUGCAUGCUAGGUGUUGGGUUGGCCACGAGCCACCCCAGUGCCGCAGGGAAGCCGUUAAGCAUGCCGCCUGGGAAGAACGAUCGCAAGAUUGAAACUUAAAGGAAUUGGCGGGGGAGCACCACCAGGCGUGAAGCCUGCGGUUU